GGCCAUUGGUGGCAAUACUGGUAGGAGUCGCCCGAGGCUUAGCCAAUAAUUUCCGUUCUAUACCCAAUAUACAUACCCGAACUGGGCACAAAUCUAUCCCAUUCCUUGGUGCUGACCCCUUUGAUGCGCCCCCGAAUCCCUUAGCAUUAUUAGUACGUCCAAUUCAUUUCGUGAUCAGCUCACCGCAUGCUCAGUACUGUGUUGUAAAGUAUGCAAAUUUCCGACGCUUUUAAAGGGGCACUCCGGCUUCAUUUUCGACGCCGAGUUUUCGAUGCCAAGACGAAGGUAGGUGAAAGAGAAGACCCCUCGAACAAGAACGAGUCUCCAGAAGCGAUCGAGUCGAGCAGGAAGACGACUUUUGAAUUUAGGCCGAGCGAGCGCUGAUGACGUAAUGAGGGAUUAGCUUGCCAGUGGAAAUGCAUCUGCGCACAUACAUUUCACACACUUUUUGGCCAAUUUUCAAUCGAAGAGGAGGUUGUUUGCUAUGUUCUCCCAACGCCGUGAGCGAUCCCGUCUUCUAUACCCUUCCAGGUACCCUGAAGGUCCUCCAGAGGAGAAUUUAUCUCCAGCAAAGCGUUGUUGAUCCGCUAAAUUCGUCUCGAGACACAUUCACCCAGUGCAGUGCUGAUAAAUGUAGAAUGUUGAAUCUGUGAUAAUUGUCGACGAUGGAGAGAGAGGCUGAUAGCGGCUGUCGCAGGGAGAGUGAAGCUGCUGGAAGUAACAACGGGGAGCCCGUUUGUAUCACCUGAACAACCAGACUUCAAAGCAGUUUGACCAAAUCGGAGGGUGCCUCGUUGCUUAUCGUGAAUAUUACACCGACAUGAAUUACUACAAGUACAUGUAUACUGGUCUGUCCAAUAUGCAUUGACCGUAUUGGGUAUGGUACCUGCUCUGAGAAGGGAAUCGCUGGAGCCACAGUCCAACUAUACAGGCUUUCAAGAAACAGAGAGGAGCCAUCUUUGCAAGCUGAUACCUGAUGUGUACCGACAGAAUUCUCACGAGAUACCUUACGGACUACGCCUGGUGUAUACUUCAUAGUACUCCUUCGACUACUGUCUAGAAUCAAGUCGACUGAAACAAGUUCAAACAACUCUGGCUUCAAACGAGCCGUCGAUUAGACAAACAAAACAUUCUCUCAUAUACUAGAGCACUCUGACAACUCACGACCUAUUCCUAACGAUUGCCACCGCUUAUAAAUAUGUAGAGUACUGAUUGGAAUGUGCUCACAAUCUCAACAAUUCAGUGCUAUAAUUAUUUGAACAAUGUGUUCUUUCCAUAAAUGUUGUAUCCACAUAUAAUCCACAAUGCUGCAAAGUUUCAGAGUUCUCAGGGUAUCAAACAAAAUUAUUUCAAAUACAGUGAAAUUGUUCGUGGACAUUAUAGCGUAACUUGUAGUUCCCUGGUCCUUUUCUUUGCUAUAAAUUAAUCCUUUGCUCUCUAGCCGCCGGCGAGUCCAACAGUGAAAUUGUUAGUUCAUAUUUA
This is a long non-coding RNA of Sycon ciliatum, 1482 nucleotides long. RefSeq lists it as uncharacterized. The transcript has 2 exons. NCBI's taxonomy places the organism in Eukaryota, Metazoa, Porifera, Calcarea, Leucosolenida, Sycettidae. The record is from RefSeq and is a predicted model, not a curated record.